AGAAGGCCUUCGGGUAUUAAAGAUCUUUCGGUUGGGAAGAAGGGUGUGUGUGAUAAUACCGCAUGCAUUUGAUGGUACCAAAAGAAGAAGCACCGGCAAACUUCGUGCCAGCAGCCGCGGUAAUACGAAGGGUGCGAGCGUUGUUCGGAAUUACUGGGCGUAAAGGGUUCGUAGGCGGGAAUGCAAGUCAAGUGUGAAAUCCCCGAGCUUAACUUGGGACGUGCAUUUGAGACUGUGUUUCUUGAGUAUCGGAGAGGGUGGUGGAAUUGCUGGUGUAGGAGUGACAUCCGUAGAGAUCAGCAGGAACACCGGAGGCGAAGGCGACCACCUGGCCGAAAGA
RNAcentral lists this ribosomal RNA (340 nucleotides) under Desulfocapsa sp. RNAcentral's name for it is "bacterial SSU rRNA". It matches the Rfam family "Bacterial small subunit ribosomal RNA", at positions 409 to 740 of the family's 1533-position model. The record is from RNAcentral. Lineage: Bacteria; Pseudomonadati; Thermodesulfobacteriota; Desulfobulbia; Desulfobulbales; Desulfocapsaceae.